UGGAUUAAAUUGAAAAUAAUUGAAGUUUCAGGGGCAAAUCUGAAAUAAACAAAACACCAAUGGAUCAAAUGGAACAUGCAGUUAACAGUGGAGGACCGAAAGUGAAAUUAAUCCCUCUGUCCAAAACUCCACGCAGCAAUGGAUUAAAAUAAAACAAAUUCAACAUUUCAUGGCAAAAUUUGAAAACAAACCACAAUGAUUUUGAAAUGAUGGGAUAAAAUGAAGGAUUAAAAACGCAAAUAACCUAUCAGUGUUUAAAACCCUUUUCAUCUCCAAUUAAAAGCCUACUCUGCAGCAGCAAUAGGCGCAAAAUUGCUUCAUCUUCCUUUUUCUUUUUUAAAACAACAGAGGGAAGAAAGAGGGAUCUGCUAGGCCUUCUUUAAAGCCCUAACUAUCGCCAUCCCACCGCCGUUCAAGCUUCGCCACCUACUCCGAUUCAGAUGUGUGAGCGUUGUGCGAGUGGACGUGCCAGCGAAGAUGUGGGACAGUUUGGGAGGCUGCCGAACGUGGGGCGUGCACGGCACUGGAGGUUGCUGCGACGUGGGGUGGCUACUGCUAACUGCUGCUUAGGGUUAGGCUAGGGUUAGCACACUUGGGCCUUAUUGGGCCAAAUGCAAUUGGGUCAGGAUUGGCCCAAGUUUUAUUGGAUUUGAUUGGUUAAUUUGGGCCCCGGGUUAAAAUUGACUAUUACAAUUAUAUAAGACUUUUUUUAUAUUUUUAAUUAGUAUAAUAUAUAUAAAUGACAUGUGACAUGUUCUAAUAACAA
Molecule: long non-coding RNA, 766 nt
Organism: Gossypium raimondii (Peruvian cotton)
Lineage: Eukaryota; Viridiplantae; Streptophyta; Magnoliopsida; Malvales; Malvaceae
Exons: 2
Source: RefSeq, a predicted model, not a curated record